RNAcentral lists this transfer RNA (75 nucleotides) under Candidatus Hydrogenedentota bacterium. Its description in RNAcentral is "Candidatus Hydrogenedentes bacterium tRNA-Met". It matches the Rfam family "tRNA". From Rfam's summary of the family: Transfer RNA (tRNA) molecules are approximately 80 nucleotides in length. The record is from RNAcentral. Lineage: Bacteria; Pseudomonadati; Candidatus Hydrogenedentota.
GGCGGCGUAGCUCAGAGGUAGAGCAGAGGUCUCAUAAGCCUCGUGUCGGCGGUUCGAUUCCGCCCGCCGCUACCA